Molecule: non-coding RNA, 677 nt
Organism: Macaca mulatta (Rhesus monkey)
Lineage: Eukaryota; Metazoa; Chordata; Mammalia; Primates; Cercopithecidae
Source: RefSeq, a predicted model, not a curated record
CUGCCCCCUAGGGGCCUCUUCCCAAGCACCUAGAACUUUCCAAAGUGUGCUUGGAAUUUAACACCUUGUUCUUGACGAGCAAAAGUACCCUGAUAAGACCGGCUUUCUUCCUCUACGGCCCAGGAGUUUCUCCAGGUGGCAUUCCUGUCGCCUUGAGGUGGAACGUCAGUAGAGGCUCGAGGCUGAAGCAAGCACAAUACUUAAGUCAUUAUAGAGACUCGGAUUCGUACAGGAACAUUCGAAAACUUAGGAAAUCCUUAGGACAAUAAUGAACAUUUGAACCUAUCUACCGAGAAGAUUCGCCUCUCCUUGCCAACCACUUGGAGCCAUCAGUCCGAACCCGUCGAGACAUAAGCAUUCCAGUUCUACAGGAACUAGAUCGUUAGAGAAAAAGCAAGUCAUCUGUCUGUGAGGGAACAGUCAACCCGGCCAGGUGAGAGUGGUGACAGCUUUAUUAUAUAGAGGGAAAAACACCUUUAACUUGUUAGGUGCUGGGAUUGGUCAGGAGGAAUCUCAAACCACAAAUUCUUUGUUCUAGUUGCAACCCCCACAUCAUUAAAUGGAGAAUGUCUGUAAUUGGGCACAUUAGUUAGUAACACGUCAGACACUGCCCACUACAGAUCCUUCCUCUUCAAGGAUGUCAUUUCAUUUUAUAAGGCAACCCAGAUCUGCCUUAA